GACGAACGCUGGCGGCGUGCUUAACACAUGCAAGUCGAACGGAAAGGCCCUGCUUUUGCUCGGUGCUCGAGUGGCGAACAGGUGUGUAUCACGCGAGUAACCUCUCCUUGACUUCGGGAGAACUUCAGGGAACUCGGGCUCAAAUCCGAUAUGAGCUCCUGCUGCAUGGUGGAGGUUGGUAAAUUUCGGCGUUUGUGGAUGGACUCGCGGCUUAUCAGCUUGUUGGUGGGGUAGUGGCUUACCAAGGCUUCGACGGGUAGCCGGCCUGAGAGGGUGACCGGGCACAGUGGGCCUGAGAUACGAGCCAGACUCCAACGGGAGGCAGCGGUGGGAAAUAGUGCGCAAUGGGCGGAAGCCUGAUGCAGCAACGCCGGGUGCGGAAUGACGGUUUUCGGGUUGUAAACCGCUUGCGCCUGUAACGAAGAGUGAGUGACGGUAAUGGGUAAAGAAGCACCGGCUAACUACGUG
This 468-nucleotide ribosomal RNA is filed under the name uncultured bacterium. RNAcentral's name for it is "partial 16S ribosomal RNA". It matches the Rfam family "Bacterial small subunit ribosomal RNA", at positions 28 to 507 of the family's 1533-position model. The record is from RNAcentral.